GACGAACGCUGGCGGCGUGCUUAACACAUGCAAGUCGAACGGAAGGGCCCUGCUUUUGUGGGGUGCUCGAGUGGCGAACGGGUGAGUAACACGUGAGUAACCUGCCCUUGACUUUGGGAUAACUUCAGGAAACUGGGGCUAAUACCGGAUAGGAGCUCCUGCUGCAUGGUGGGGGUUGGAAAGUUUCGGCGGUUGGGGAUGGACUCGCGGCUUAUCAGCUUGUUGGUGGGGUAGUGGCUUACCAAGGCGAUGACGGGUAGCCGGCCUGAGAGGAGGACCGGGCACAGGGGGAUUGAGACACGGCCGAGACGCAGACGGGAGGAAGCAGUGGGGAAUAUUGCACAAUGGGGGAAAGACUGAUCUAGCGACGCCGCGGGAGGGAGGAAGGAGUUAGGGGGGUAAAGAUCUUUGACCAGGGAAGAGAGUGACAGUAAAGGGAGAAGGAGCUACGGCUAAAUCCGUG
RNAcentral lists this ribosomal RNA (463 nucleotides) under uncultured bacterium. Its description in RNAcentral is "partial 16S ribosomal RNA". It matches the Rfam family "Bacterial small subunit ribosomal RNA", at positions 28 to 507 of the family's 1533-position model. The record is from RNAcentral.